Molecule: RNase P RNA, 349 nt
Filed under: Anaerolineaceae bacterium
Lineage: Bacteria; Bacillati; Chloroflexota; Anaerolineae; Anaerolineales; Anaerolineaceae
Description: RNase P RNA component class A
Rfam family: Bacterial RNase P class A
About the family: Ribonuclease P (RNase P) is a ubiquitous endoribonuclease, found in archaea, bacteria and eukarya as well as chloroplasts and mitochondria. Its best characterised activity is the generation of mature 5'-ends of tRNAs by cleaving the 5'-leader elements of precursor-tRNAs.
Source: RNAcentral
CGGGUUGGUCAGGUGAUAGCAGUGGAGGUUUCCUCCAUUGAGGAAAGUCCGUACUCCAUAGGGCACAAAACCGGGGAAAUCCCGGGACGGGGUAACCUGUCGGUCGGGCCACAGAAACAUACCGCCCGCAAGGGUAAGGGUGAAAAGGUGGUGUAAGAGACCACCGGCUUCUGCAGUAAUGCAGCUGCCAGGCAACCCCUUUUAGGAGCAAGGUCAAGCAGACGCUGAAACUCAUCGGAACUGCCCGUUCCCUCACUGCAAUGUGAGAGCGUCGGGUAGACCGCGCAGAUAGAUUAUCACCCAGGUGAUUUUCACCAGACAGAAUGCGGCUUAUAGACCAACCCGGCAU